This 76-nucleotide transfer RNA is filed under the name Candidatus Peregrinibacteria bacterium CG10_big_fil_rev_8_21_14_0_10_49_16. RNAcentral's name for it is "tRNA-Met". It matches the Rfam family "tRNA". Rfam says of the family: Transfer RNA (tRNA) molecules are approximately 80 nucleotides in length. Their secondary structure includes four short double-helical elements and three loops (D, anti-codon, and T loops). The record is from RNAcentral. Lineage: Bacteria; Candidatus Peregrinibacteriota. RNAcentral also lists the same sequence under 1 other name.
UGCGGGGUGGAGCAGCGGCUAGCUUGCCAGGCUCAUAACCUGGAGGUCGAGGGUUCGAGUCCCUCCCCCGCAACCA